Molecule: long non-coding RNA, 526 nt
Filed under: Mytilus galloprovincialis (Mediterranean mussel)
Lineage: Eukaryota; Metazoa; Mollusca; Bivalvia; Mytilida; Mytilidae
Source: RNAcentral
AUUAGUACUUUGUGGGCAGCCUCAAUUCAAACAGAUAACCGCCUCUUGACGUCUUCUGAUUUCUACCAUAAAUGGACUAAUUUGUUGCUAAGGUAGCAGCAACCAUUUCUAAUGAAGGGCAUUGUUUAUUUCAUGACGUGCUUGAACUGGGGUGUCCUUCCGUGCACUUUACGCCCAAUAGUGUCCAAUAUAUGCUCGAUAUGGUUCAAAUCCGGGCUUCGAUCGGGCCAAGAAAGAUGAACCGAAUUCAAUUGGAACAAUGGAUCUUCCUCCACGAUGCUAAUUUCCAACUUUGGCGAGCUCCGCACUAUAUUGGAUACGGACAACUGUGUGUCUGUUCGUAAGUAAUGGUUCCCGAAAUGGUCUGCUCGCACGAUAACCAGUAACGAUGAGUAGAUCUCGAACAGUUCUUGUUAAAAGCUUAUGUAUGCCCACCACUCUCUUCUUAUGAUUGUAUUGUAUACAAUGGCUUUUCUUCUGACCAACCUUCAUUAUGCUUGAUUUUCCCUAGCAGAUGGUAUAGGGG